Molecule: ribosomal RNA, 292 nt
Filed under: uncultured bacterium
Lineage: Bacteria
Description: partial 16S ribosomal RNA
Rfam family: Bacterial small subunit ribosomal RNA
Source: RNAcentral
GUGUCAGCCGCCGCGGUAAGACGAACCGUGCGAACGUUAUUCGGAAUCACUGGGCUUAAAGGGCGCGUAGGCGGGCCACCAAGUCAGGGGUGAAAGCCUCCGGCUCAACCGGAGAAGUGCCUUUGAUACUGGCGGCCUAGAGGGAGGUAGGGGCCUGCGGAACUUCCGGUGGAGCGGUGAAAUGCGUAGAUAUCGGAAGGAACGCCGGUGGCGAAAGCGGCGGGCUGGACCUCUUCUGACGCUGAGGCGCGAAAGCCAGGGGAGCAAACGGGAUUAGAAACCCUUGUAGUCC